GAGCUGUUUUCACUGUGUGUGGAGGUAUGGUGAGUCGGGGGGAGGUGAGGGGAUUAGGAAGAACAGUAAGGCAAAAUUGAACCCUGGAAUAAAAAUGGAACCAAAAUCUCUCUAAACCAGAUCCAAGGAAAGGCUGGAAGCCUGCUUAGGAGAUAGCACUAAAGGCAGGCAUCCAGGGGUCAGAGGCAAGCUCCUGAAAGCUAGACUUGAAAAAUUAACUUUAAAACCUGAUGCACAUACUUCCAAAUGACUGUGAGCCUUUUGGGGGCACAGACCAGACUGUGUGUGUUUAUAUAUGGACGCGCCCGAAAGCAGAAGUACACAGGGGCUGCAGAGCUGCAGUGUAGCUUUCUCUCUGCUUAGGCACCGUGUUAUUUUCACACCUGUCAGUGCUGGUAACUGUUGCCUCCUGUUGUCUACCUCUCAGGACCCUAGGGUUGGCAGCAUAGUUACUGAGCUCC
Molecule: long non-coding RNA, 461 nt
Filed under: Bos taurus (domestic cattle)
Lineage: Eukaryota; Metazoa; Chordata; Mammalia; Artiodactyla; Bovidae
Description: long non-coding RNA NONBTAT015239
Source: RNAcentral